UCUGGUUACCCGAGCGCGCAUGGUGGAUACGGGAACGCCGACGAGCGCGCAUGGUGGAUACGGGAACGCCGACGAGCGCGCUCAUGCUCACGCCUCUAUCUCCCCCUUCUCUCUCCCUCAACCGCCCUGAUCCAGAUACACAAGUUCAUGCGAGGCAGAGAGACGGGAGCGAUAUCCGGGAUGAUUCGGGCGAGCGCCUCACGUCCGCGGUUGUUGGGAGCUUCGCUCACCAUCUCGCGGUUGUUGGCGGCGGAAGAUAGAGAAGGGCGAGCGGCCGCGCGGAACAUCGACGACCGAGAGGCACCCUCGUCUGCAACCCCAUCUGCUAUUCUCCCUGACGGCAUUCCUGGCAGCAAGGAUUGAAAGACAUGGUCCAUAUUGUGGCAACCAAGACACAAAUAAAGAACAAAUGGGACAGGUUGAAAGAAUUCAAGGCAUGGAAGAAGUUGAUGAGGAAGACAUGUACUGGUGGGUGCUCUACAAAAGGAACCAUCGAUAUGGCUGGCAGGACAUUCCAAGUUGUGGGAACUUCAAAAUAUGGAGGAACUAGAAAUAUGUUUUGGCAGCAUCACAAGUAUUGGUGUUGAUCACUGGUCUCCUCAUAUGGCCACUGCUUUCACCAUUGCUGAACAAGGAGGUACACCACACGAGGCAAUCAAUUGUGACACAAGAAGAUGGUGACACCAAUGAAUGUGAAGUUUCACCGGUCAGUCCAAAUGACAAGAGACCGCCAACGCCAAGGUUCAAUCAAAAUAAAGGCAAGAAGCAGAAAACAGAAAACAGGGACAACACUAAUCAUCGUUCAAUAAGCAGUUACAUCUAUGUCUGUUUCAACUAAUUCUUAUGCUGCAAAAAAGGAAAAAUUUCCAUUGAUGAAGUGAUGAAACAUGUGCUUGCUUGUGGUGCCACCUAUGGUAGUAACGAGCACUUCAUUACAACUGAAUUAUUUGUCAAACUGACCCAAAAAGAGAUGUUCAUGACCUUUUUUACCGAACAUAGAUUCAACUGGCUUUCAGGGAAAUACAUAACCAAGUAUGGCAAUUAUAGAGGGCCAUGGAUGUGAUAUGAGUUCUACAUGUUUGUUUUUUAUCUCGUUGUGUGAGACUUAUUUGUUUCUUGUUCCUUUCAUUUCUUUAUGUGAGACUCAAUGGAUCAUUGUAUCUGCUAUCUCAUUUGAUGAUGGUUAUGUAUUAUUGUACUAUUACUUGUGUUUGUAUAAAAUCUCAUAUUUGCUAUCUUAUUUGACAUUAUUAUAUGUUUGUUUGAUAUGGGGGUUAAUGAAAAGGAGUUUCCUCGUCAACUACAAGGUAAGUACUAUAGAUGUGGGUUAUCAUAAUCGACCUAGAUAUCUAGCUCUAUAUAAAGGGUGGAAGAUACCACUUAGGGCGUGAUGGUGAGCGCCUAACAACUAUGUUCUGGAGUAGGCAGAUGCAGUGAUGCAUUAUCCUAAAACGAAACUUGCAUUCUUAUUAGGAGGUCAGACUCAUGAGCUG
Molecule: long non-coding RNA, 1493 nt
Organism: Zea mays
Lineage: Eukaryota; Viridiplantae; Streptophyta; Magnoliopsida; Poales; Poaceae
Exons: 4
Source: RefSeq, a predicted model, not a curated record